This 805-nucleotide long non-coding RNA is filed under the name Gallus gallus (chicken). RNAcentral's name for it is "long non-coding RNA NONGGAT008469". Lineage: Eukaryota; Metazoa; Chordata; Aves; Galliformes; Phasianidae. The record is from RNAcentral.
GUCCUUUAGAAGUGACCACGUCCCCAACAAAGGCGAAGGAACCGCUGCACCCCCUUGCUGGAAGCGCACCUAUGGGGAAAGGUACACGCGAGUGGCCGUGCCCUGCUGCUCUCCUUGGGGCUGCAGCCCAGUUCCCAGGCACAGCUGUCGGCGUGGGACAGCUUGAGGAACACCUCUGCACGGGGAUUGAAGGUAACGCAAUUCCCUAAUAAUGCAUAGAAUUUAUUAAUGAUGGCAGAAAGGUCUCAGGUGCGAGGAAUGCUUUCUUGUUUGUCUCCAGGAUUCGGUGUGGUAGGUUUGAGGCAGGCAGGGGCUGUUGCUAACAGUGCUGUGUAGGCAUACAGUGAUGUGCGUGUGCUGUGCGGUAGGGAUGGGUAGCAGCUUACUGACUGCGCUCACUCUUACGCCACAUUUAAUCCUGCUCUGGUUGCUCCGCUGCGUAUUCAUAACAACAAAAAGGAAACAGAAGCACAGAUGUCUACCUGGCUCUUAAUUGGGUUUCACGCGUCCCCAGUGUAGCAAAUGCAGCGUUAUUUACAGCCAGGCCCUAAGAAUUAGGUGCAUCUGGAGCAGUGGCAGAGCCCGCGCCAGGCUGCGGGCUGAUGGAUGGGUGGAGCGAGGCGCUGCUCCGCUCUGCCCUUCCUGUACCCCCCCGCCUACCUGUCCUCACUGUGCCUCAGACCCAACCGGUACUGCCAGAGGGAACGCUUAUAGAAACGAAAUACACCGGGAAAAAGGAGAAUUUCUGCUCUCCUGCAGCCGCAUCAGCGUUUUCUAAUUGUAUGGCGAUGAUGAUAAUAAAAAG